UGGGACGAUGGCUUAGUGGUUAAAGCAAUUACCUUUCAAUCGGUAAGUCACAGGUUCGAAUUCCUCUUCCCUAA
Molecule: transfer RNA, 74 nt
Filed under: Schistosoma japonicum
Lineage: Eukaryota; Metazoa; Platyhelminthes; Trematoda; Strigeidida; Schistosomatidae
Description: tRNA-Glu
Source: RNAcentral